This 232-nucleotide ribosomal RNA is filed under the name uncultured bacterium. RNAcentral's name for it is "partial 16S ribosomal RNA". It matches the Rfam family "Bacterial small subunit ribosomal RNA", at positions 118 to 347 of the family's 1533-position model. The record is from RNAcentral.
UGAGCAAUCUACCUUUUUGUGGGGGAUAGCCGGCCCAACGGCCGGGUAAUACCGCAUACGAUCUUCGAGAGGCAUUUCUUGAAGAUGAAGCCUACGGGGCAAAAAGAGGAGCUCGCGGCCUAUCAGCUAGUUGGUGAGGUAAUGGCUCACCAAGGCAAUGACGGGUAGCUGGUUUGAGAGGAUGGCCAGCCACAUUGGGACUGAGAUACGGCCCAGACUCCUACGGGAGCAG